CAACAGGGAUUGCCCUAGUAACGGCGAGUGAAGCGGCAACAGCUCAAAUUUGAAAUCUGGCUCUUUCAGAGUCCGAGUUGUAAUUUGCAGAGGGCGCUUUGGCUUUGGCAGCGGUCCAAGUUCCUUGGAACAGGACGUCACAGAGGGUGAGAAUCCCGUACGUGGUCGCUAGCUAUUGCCGUGUAAAGCCCCUUCGACGAGUCGAGUUGUUUGGGAAUGCAGCUCUAAAUGGGAGGUAAAUUUCUUCUAAAGCUAAAUAUUGGCCAGAGACCGAUAGCGCACAAGUAGAGUGAUCGAAAGAUGAAAAGCACUUUGGAAAGAGAGUCAAACAGCACGUGAAAUUGUUGAAAGGGAAGCGCUUGCAGCCAGACUUGCUUGCAGUUGCUCAUCCGGGCUUUUGCCCGGUGCACUCUUCUGCAGGCAGGCCAGCAUCAGUUUGGGCGGUGGGAUAAAGGUCUCUGUCACGUACCUUCCUUCGGGUUGGCCUUAUAGGGGAGACGCCAUACCACCAGCCUGGACUGAGGUCCGCGCAUCUGCUAGGAUGCUGGCGUAAUGGCUGUAAGCGGCCCGUCUUGAAACACGGACCAAGGAGUCUAACAUCUAUGCGAGUGUUUGGGUGUCAAGCCCGAGCGCGUAAUGAAAGUGAACGGAGGUGGGAACCCGCAAGGGUGCACCAUCGACCGAUCCUGAAGUUUACGGAAGGAUUUGAGUAAGAGCAUGGCUGUUGGGACCCGAAAGAUGGUGAACUAUGCUUGAAUAGGGUGAAGCCAGAGGAAACUCUGGUGGAGGCUCGCAGCGGUUCUGACGUGCAAAUCGAUCGUCAAAUUUGGGCAUAGGGGCGAAAGACUAAUCGAACU
RNAcentral lists this ribosomal RNA (857 nucleotides) under Curvularia spicifera. Its description in RNAcentral is "eukaryotic LSU rRNA". It matches the Rfam family "Eukaryotic large subunit ribosomal RNA", at positions 66 to 941 of the family's 3401-position model. The record is from RNAcentral. Lineage: Eukaryota; Fungi; Ascomycota; Dothideomycetes; Pleosporales; Pleosporaceae.